GAGUUAAUUUAAAUUUAAAUAUUCAAAUAAACUCGUUUGUAAAAACGAGCUCAAUGUUUCACCAGGAGUUGGAUCUCGUCCAAUCUGAGCUGCAAUCCAAUCUACUGUGCAUAACAGGGCCAAGCCAGCCAUUAAAGCCGCCGUUUCAUAACAGCGGGAGAAACUUCAUUUUCCCCCAAAAUUUUCCUGAUUACCAUAUAGUCCCUCAAACCUUAGAUAAUUAAUUUAUUUUGUUUUACUGCCUUUCUCAACAAAUAGCAAAACCCUAAUCUGAUAAUCAACCCAAGCUCUAAAAUUAGCCAUGGAGAAAACAAGCGAUAAGCCGGAGUGCGCACAACAGGCGCUGGAUCUUCUCAAUUGCGUUACACAAUCUUCAUUCGACCAAGACAAAUGUCUUCAUCUUCUGCAAGCUUUAAGAGAGUGUGCCGUCAACAAGAAAGUGAAGAAAUUCUCAUUAGCUGACCCAGGUCAGCAGGAAUCAGGCCCGGCUGGCAAGAAAGCUUGAGGAAAUUUUGUAUUGUUAGGAUUUUCAACUGUGGUUUAUUUUGGUAAUGUUGAUGAAACAAUUUUUCAUAAUUUUCCCCCUCUGAUUUUCAACUGAGGGAAUGCCAUUAAUAUAUUGAUGAAUACCCAAAUUAUUAAAAUCUGCAUAUCAAUGAAGAAUUUUUGAAGUUGACAAGGAA
Long non-coding RNA from Mangifera indica (mango), 683 nucleotides. RefSeq lists it as uncharacterized. The transcript is spliced from 2 exons. NCBI's taxonomy places the organism in Eukaryota, Viridiplantae, Streptophyta, Magnoliopsida, Sapindales, Anacardiaceae. The record is from RefSeq and is a predicted model, not a curated record.